UACGAAGGGGGCUAGCGUUGCUCGGAAUCACUGGGCGUAAAGCGCACGUAGGCGGAUUUCUAAGUCAGGGGUGAAGUCCUGGAGCUCAACUCCAGAACUGCCUUUGAUACUGGGAAUCUCGAGUCCGGGAGAGGUGAGUGGAACUGCGAGUGUAGAGGUGAAAUUCGUAGAUAUUCGCAAGAACACCAGUGGCGAAGGCGGCUCACUGGCCCGGUACUGACGCUGAGGUGCGAAAGCGUGGGGAGCAAACAGG
Molecule: ribosomal RNA, 253 nt
Filed under: uncultured bacterium
Lineage: Bacteria
Description: partial 16S ribosomal RNA
Rfam family: Bacterial small subunit ribosomal RNA
Source: RNAcentral